Molecule: long non-coding RNA, 492 nt
Filed under: Mytilus galloprovincialis (Mediterranean mussel)
Lineage: Eukaryota; Metazoa; Mollusca; Bivalvia; Mytilida; Mytilidae
Source: RNAcentral
ACUUUCUAUAGCGCUCCAGAUGUCUUGUGUGUACCGUUUGAUUUAAUGACGCCAUACUACAGUUUUUGAUACAAUAACUAAAUAUUCUAUUAUGACGACCUAUAUAUGACAUAUAUCAUCUGCAACCAGAAUAAUCACAGUAUAUCUACUUUUUAGUGUAAGCGCAAAAAUACUCAAAACUGGCUGUUCCACGUAACUUAUAAAUACGGCCGGUUAUCUCAAUUUGAUACAUCAAAUUCCAUAUUUUACGUAGGCCAAGUUACAGAUACAAUAUACCUAUUUCUAUUCUAAAGCAAAAUAAGCAAUUUAGUACAUUUCAAUUUAUUUUUUGGUGUAAAAUUCCAUAAAACAAAAAUUCCGCGAAAUGAUGUUAUCGUCUUUGCAUGGCAACUAUAAACCAGGUGACGUUAAAUGCAUCAAUACUUCUGAUCUUCCUCAUCAAAAUUAACAAACAAUGUAACAAACAACACCGGGCGUUGUAAGGCUAGCUUC